RNAcentral lists this ribosomal RNA (433 nucleotides) under uncultured bacterium. RNAcentral describes it as "partial 16S ribosomal RNA". It matches the Rfam family "Bacterial small subunit ribosomal RNA", at positions 29 to 507 of the family's 1533-position model. The record is from RNAcentral.
AACGAACGCUGGCGGCAGGCCUAACACAUGCAAGUCGAGCGAGGACUUCGGUCCUAGCGGCGGACGGGUGAGUAACGCGUGGGAACGUGCCCUUUGCUUCGGAAUAGCCCUGGGAAACUGGGAGUAAUACCGGAUGAGCCCUUUGGGGGAAAGAUUUAUCGGCGAAGGCUCGGCCCGCGUUGGAUUAGGUAGUUGGUGGGGUAAUGGCCUACCAAGCCGACGAUCCAUAGCUGGUUUGAGAGGAUGAUCAGCCACACUGGAACUGAGACACGGCCCAGACUCCUACGGGAGGCAGCAGUGGGGAGUCUUAGACAAUGGGGGAAACCCUAAUCUAGCCAUGCCGCGUGAGCGAUGAAGGCCUUAGGGUUGUAAAGCUCUUUCAGCUGGGAAGAUAGUGACGGUACCAGCAGAAGAAGCCCCGGCUAACUCCGUG